UACGUAGGGUGCAAGCGUUGUCCGGAUUUAUUGGGUUUAAAGGGUGCGUAGGCGGCCCUGUAAGUCAGUGGUGAAAUACUCCAGCUUAACUGGAGGGGUGCCAUUGAUACUGCAGGGCUUGAGUUAAGUUGAAGUUGGCGGAAUUGACGGUGUAGCGGUGAAAUGCUUAGAUAUCGUCAAGAACACCGAUAGUGAAGACAGCUAACUAAACUUUUACUGGCGCUGAGGCACGAAAGUGUGGGGAUCAAACAGG
RNAcentral lists this ribosomal RNA (253 nucleotides) under uncultured bacterium. RNAcentral's name for it is "partial 16S ribosomal RNA". It matches the Rfam family "Bacterial small subunit ribosomal RNA", at positions 524 to 776 of the family's 1533-position model. The record is from RNAcentral.